This 266-nucleotide long non-coding RNA is filed under the name Homo sapiens (human). RNAcentral describes it as "non-protein coding lnc-PROX1-4:1". Lineage: Eukaryota; Metazoa; Chordata; Mammalia; Primates; Hominidae. The record is from RNAcentral.
UCCCAAGACUUCAAAUGAACUUCAGAGAAAACUAGGAAAUGAAGGAGAGUCCACAGGCAUUCAGGGAGCAUCAGUUGCCUCUGUUAACCUGGGUCAACCACCAAGAAUGCUCAACCUGCACCUGGUAAACACCAUUCCAGGGAACUUGACUAUUUUGUGAUGAGGAAGAAAAGGCUUAGAAAAUGAGAAGUAGAACAUUACUCGGGACACAUAGUGUCCACGUAGCUCCAAAGCAAGCAGUUAAAAAGUAAAAAAAGGCUAGCCAA